This 305-nucleotide ribosomal RNA is filed under the name uncultured bacterium. Its description in RNAcentral is "bacterial SSU rRNA". It matches the Rfam family "Bacterial small subunit ribosomal RNA", at positions 333 to 655 of the family's 1533-position model. The record is from RNAcentral.
GUGCCCCUACGGGGGGCAGCAGUGGGGAAUAUUGCACAAUGGGGGAAACCCUGAUGCAGCGACGCCGCGUGAGUGAAGAAGUAUUUCGGUAUGUAAAGCUCUAUCAGCAGGGAAGAAGAAGGACGGUACCUGAGUAAGAAGCCCCGGCUAACUACGUGCCAGCAGCCGCGGUAAUACGUAGGGGGCAAGCGUUAUCCGGAUUUAUUGGGUUCAAAGGGUGCGUAGGCGGAGUGUCAAGUCAGCGGUAAAAUUUCGGGGCUCAACCCCGUCGUGCCGUUGAAACUGACGCCCUUGAGUGAGUGAGA